Molecule: ribosomal RNA, 207 nt
Filed under: uncultured bacterium
Lineage: Bacteria
Description: partial 16S ribosomal RNA
Rfam family: Bacterial small subunit ribosomal RNA
Source: RNAcentral
CGCGUAGGCGGACUGGAAAGUCAGAGGUGAAAUCCCAGGGCUCAACCUUGGAACUGCCUUUGAAACUAUCAGUCUGGAGUUCGAGAGAGGUGAGUGGAAUUCCGAGUGUAGAGGUGAAAUUCGUAGAUAUUCGGAAGAACACCAGUGGCGAAGGCGACACACUGGCUCAUUACUGACGCUGAGGCGCGAAAGCGUGGGGAGCAAACA